Molecule: ribosomal RNA, 460 nt
Filed under: uncultured bacterium
Lineage: Bacteria
Description: partial 16S ribosomal RNA
Rfam family: Bacterial small subunit ribosomal RNA
Source: RNAcentral
CCUACGGGUGGCAGCAGUGAGGAAUAUUGGUCAAUGGACGAGAGUCUGAACCAGCCAAGUAGCGUGAAGGAUGACUGCCCUCUGGGUUGUAAACUUCUUUUAUAUGGGAAUAAAAUGUUCCACGUGUGGGAUUUUGUAUGUACCAUAUGAUUAAGGAACGGCUAACUCCGUGCCAGCAGCCGCGGUAAUACGGAGGAUCCGAGCGUUAUCCGGAUUUAUUGGGUUUAAAGGGAGCGUAGGUGGAUUGUUAAGUCAGUUGUGAAAGUUUGCGCCUCAACCGUAAAAUUGCAGUUGAAACUGGCAGUCUUGAGUACAGUAGAGGUGGGAGGAAUUCGUGGUGUAGCGGUGAAAUGCUUAGAUAUCACGAAGAACUCCGAUUGCGAAGGCAGUUCACUGGACUGCAACUGACACUGAGGCUCGAAAGUGUGGGUAUCAAACAGGAUUAGAUACCCGAGUAGUC